This 211-nucleotide unclassified non-coding RNA is filed under the name uncultured Bordetella sp. RNAcentral describes it as "partial 16S-23S ribosomal RNA intergenic spacer". It matches the Rfam family "Bacterial small subunit ribosomal RNA", at positions 10 to 231 of the family's 1533-position model. Lineage: Bacteria; Pseudomonadati; Pseudomonadota; Betaproteobacteria; Burkholderiales; Alcaligenaceae. The record is from RNAcentral.
AGUUCGAUCAUGGCUCAAAUUAGACACUGGCGGGAUGCUUUACGCCUGAAGUCGAGCAGCGCUGGACUUCAGUCUGGUGUGGGUGGCGAACAGGUGAUAAUGUCGGAACGUGCCUGAUGGCGGGGAUAACUACGCGAAAGCGCUAGCUAAUACCACAUACGCCCUUCGGGGAAAGCGGGGGACCUUCGGGCCUCGCACUAUUAGAGCAGCC